Molecule: long non-coding RNA, 570 nt
Organism: Pleuronectes platessa (European plaice)
Lineage: Eukaryota; Metazoa; Chordata; Actinopteri; Pleuronectiformes; Pleuronectidae
Exons: 4
Source: RefSeq, a predicted model, not a curated record
UCACAACCUCGUGAAUGCUGCGUCUGUCUCCAGCAGACCGGCUCGUCUUUAGCUUGGUCUGAACGAGUGACUCGGUUUUCCGGGUAAAUAACUUGCUGAAGUCGACACGCCACUGUUUCCCUGGAGGAGGAGAUGAGUGCGUUGGAAAGCAGAGCCGAGGGCCCAGUGUGGACGAGUCGAGGAAGAGAAGAGGGGCGCUCAGUCCUUAAGUUAAGGAAAGUCCCGUCUCUUCACACCUCUGAUGCAAAUGGCAGCGCCACGAACUGGAGCGAGGCCGCCUGUACCAUGACGUACUAAGACACACCAUGAAGGAGCUUCCCGUACAUCCAACCGGACCUUGCAGCAGCAUUGAGGAGUUCAGGAGGCGUCAGAGAACAAAGAGGCUGAUUGAAGCGGGACAGAUGACAUGGAUCCAUCCUUCCACAGCCAGGAGCUCACCGACCUGUGUGCCACACUUCAAAUAAGACUAGAAGCUACACUGGAUCUCACAGCUACACACCACAGACAAAGUCCCACAAAGAACGUAUGACCCAGAGGCUGCAAAGAGAAAUAAAGCUUUGACUCAACAUA